Molecule: ribosomal RNA, 208 nt
Filed under: uncultured Syntrophus sp.
Lineage: Bacteria; Pseudomonadati; Thermodesulfobacteriota; Syntrophia; Syntrophales; Syntrophaceae
Description: partial 16S ribosomal RNA
Rfam family: Bacterial small subunit ribosomal RNA
Source: RNAcentral
GGGGAUGACGUCAAGUCCUCAUGGCCUUUAUGCCCAGGGCUACACACGUGCUACAAUGGGCGGUACAAAGAGAAGCAACCUCGCGAGGGUGAGCAAAUCUCAAAAAGCCAUCCUCAGUUCGGAUUGGAGUCUGCAACUCGACUCCAUGAAGUUGGAAUCGCUAGUAAUCGCGGAUCAGCAUGCCGCGGUGAAUACGUUCCCGGGCCUU